UACGUAGGGUGCGAGCGUUGUCCGGAAUUAUUGGGCGUAAAGGGCUCGUAGGCGGUUUGUCGCGUCGGGAGUGAAAUCCACUGGCUUAACUGGUGGCUUGCUUUCGAUACGGGCAGACUGGAGGUAUGCAGGGGAGAACGGAAUUCCUGAUGUAGCGGUGAAAUGCGCAGAUAUCAGGAGGAACACCGGUGGCGAAGGCGGGUCUCUGGGCCGAUACUGACGCUGAGGAGCGAAAGCGUGGGGAGCGAACAGG
RNAcentral lists this ribosomal RNA (253 nucleotides) under uncultured bacterium. RNAcentral's name for it is "partial 16S ribosomal RNA". It matches the Rfam family "Bacterial small subunit ribosomal RNA", at positions 524 to 776 of the family's 1533-position model. The record is from RNAcentral.